GCAUUGGUGGUUCAGUGAUAGAAUUCUCGCUUUCUGUGCGGAAGACCUGGGUUCAAUUCCCAUGCAGUGCA
RNAcentral lists this transfer RNA (71 nucleotides) under Loxodonta africana (African savanna elephant). It matches the Rfam family "tRNA". From Rfam's summary of the family: Transfer RNA (tRNA) molecules are approximately 80 nucleotides in length. Their secondary structure includes four short double-helical elements and three loops (D, anti-codon, and T loops). Further hydrogen bonds mediate the characteristic L-shaped molecular structure. tRNAs have two regions of fundamental functional importance: the anti-codon, which is responsible for specific mRNA codon recognition, and the 3' end, to which the tRNAs corresponding amino acid is attached (by aminoacyl-tRNA synthetases). tRNAs cope with the degeneracy of the genetic code in two manners: having more than one tRNA (with a specific anti-codon) for a particular amino acid; and 'wobble' base-pairing, i.e. permitting non-standard base-pairing at the 3rd anti-codon position. Lineage: Eukaryota; Metazoa; Chordata; Mammalia; Proboscidea; Elephantidae. The record is from Rfam by way of RNAcentral.